This 369-nucleotide unclassified non-coding RNA is filed under the name uncultured fungus. RNAcentral's name for it is "sequence contains ITS1". The stretch from base 1 to 107 matches the Rfam family "5.8S ribosomal RNA", at positions 50 to 154 of the family's 154-position model. Lineage: Eukaryota; Fungi. The record is from RNAcentral.
AAAGUGCGAGAACUGAGGUGAUCUGCAUUUAGCGCGAAUCCUUAGAAAUUUGAACACAUAAUGUGGCCUUCGGGUAAAACCGACUGGCUGUAUUUGGUUGAGCGUCUUAUAUCAACAAAGUCGGGUCGAAAGAUCGGUGACACAGUGGAAGGCAACUUUGAUUAGUUUACCUUCUUAAAUACUUUUAGUCAAGUUUUAGGACCUUGUGACCUACUUCUACUCAAAGAUGUUAAACUCCAGAAUAAAUUUAUUUAUAAUGGACUUAUAGACAGGGCUGAGUAAGUAACGAUCGAACCUAAAACUUGAUGAAUUUUUUUUUACAACAAACUAAAAGACCUCAGCUCAAGUACGACUACCCGCUGAAUUUAA